RNAcentral lists this unclassified non-coding RNA (5190 nucleotides) under Leishmania donovani. RNAcentral's name for it is "gene:LdHU3.30.2800(CDS-product:hypothetical_prote in_conserved)". Lineage: Eukaryota; Euglenozoa; Kinetoplastea; Trypanosomatida; Trypanosomatidae. The record is from RNAcentral.
AAAACAGCUCACCUGCGCGUUAGCAGGCUCGUACUCCCUCCCCUUCCGUAUCCUUCCGUCUUUGCUAUCUCGCAGAUACACACACACACACACACACACACCACACCACACCUUUCUCGAGCACGCAGGUGUUGUUCCGUCUUUGUGCGUGUUUGCUUGCAAACACUUUACCUGGCAGACGACAGGGAAAGAGACCUACCGAACACCUGCGACCUGGACGUGGAGGUGUACCGGCUGCUUCAUUCGCUUACGCUCACGUGUGGCGCCAGCGGGUGCCGGAAGAAAAGGUACGGCAGCGGCGCAGGAUACCCGCCCCCUGGUACUUUGCUCUUGUUGUUUGCCGCUUGCGACCUUUGUCUGUUGUGCUUUCUGUGGAGGGCAGCGGCGGGUCUGCUGCCGUUGUCGCCUCAACCGCCCUGGCCGUAGUUGUCCUAGCCGGCAGCGCUGAUUGAGCUGUUCCCGUCCCCUCCUGUGACGGCGUUGACAAGGAGAGGCGUGCGUGUGUGUGUGUGGCAGCACAAGGCGACGCCGCUGCGAAACACGUGAGCGCCUUGCGCACCCUUCACGGAAGCUACUUGUUCCUUGUUGUGGUGGCCGCGCUCUUCUGCAGGAUUUCUGUUUGGACUCCUCUGCGAGUGCGCACGUCCCGGCCCCUUUCGCUCGGCCUCCAAGGCUUCAUCACGCACGUGUAGCAGCACCACCGCAGGGUUUCUCUUUAGGCAUUGCCUUCGGUACUGCUCUUCCUUAAGUGCCCUCUUCUGUAGUCGACCUCUCUACGCAGCACCGGUCCGUUCUCUUCCGCACUUUUCGUUUCUGCUUGCGGUACCCGAAGCGGACCCCUCUCGCUUCACGGAUGGCAAGUCUUCAAGAGGCGCCCUCACCGGCUCUCCUGCCAUGCUCGCUUUCGGAAGUGGAGGCGGAGCUGCAGAAGACGCAGGAGACUCUUGUGGACGGGAUCCAAGAAGAGCUCAUGUGCGCCAUAUGCGGGUCUGUUUUUAUCGACCCGCGCAUUCUGGAGUGCCAGCACUGCUUCUGCCUGCGAUGUCUCUACUCCACCGUGUCGCGCGAUCGUACCUCGCAGAUUGAAGUACCCUGCGCCUAUCGUUGCGCGGCGGUGACUGUGACGCAAGGCGAUAUCCGCACGGUUCCGAAGAACCACUACAUCACCAACACGUGUGUACUCCUGCGUCAGCAACUCGUUCGUCGAUCUCGCUUGCUGGAGCGCAAACUGUUGCUCAGUGCAGCGGCGGACAAAGAACUGCCCACUCUCGCAAGGGAGAUGAGGCUCGAUUCAGCCGCCCUACCGCUGACGGCCGCUGCUGCAUCGCCUGUGGCUACAGAGGCAUCUCUUUCACAAGGGUCACCCGCCACGGUGACUUCCGCCCUCCUCAUGAAGGAAAUCCAUGCUGCGAAGGAGCUGCACGAGUGCGAAUGGUGCUCCUGCUCGUCACCCACGUGUGAGGUGUGCACAUACUGCUGGAGCCGCGUCUGUGCCGAGUGUCGCGGGCAGUUUUCGGACCACCAGUACCUCUGUGUAGAGUUGCAUCAACCAGGGCGACGACCCCCGGAGGGGUGGUUGCCUGGCGUGAGUACUGCCACCGCGGCCGAUACGGAUCGGGGCGCCGAUGCCGGUCAAGAGAGAGAAGCUACAAGGAUGGAUUCUGCGAGCAGCGCCGCGCAGGUGGGAGCGACAGCCGCAGCGGGGGCGCAGACCCCUGACCAAGAGGCCCCGUUCCCGUACUUUAUCGCACCGUUCUUUGUGCCAGUACUGGUGAAGGAGUGCCUGGUGAAGCAGCAUGGCGCAACCCUGCAGCUGAGCGAGAUCGACGUGACUUCCGUGACGGCCGUGCGGCUGGCAGUACCGGAGGUGGAAGUCCAGUGCCAACACCACACCACCGGCUUCGGCUUCAACUUCCGUGUUCACCCCUCCUUCAAGACGACGGAAGGGGUGGAGGUGGACUUGACAGUGCCACAUUGGGCUGACGGCGGCGGCAGGCCUAACACUACCCUCUCUUUCCUCGCCAACACCGCCCGCCUGGGCGAGACCGUCUUGCAGGAUCUGCGACGGCUCAGCACGAUCAUGAGCAAGGUGGUUCUGGAGCUGUCCAGCGCCGCACAUCAAGCCUACGUGCGGCGCAACAAGGGGUUUCACAUGUACGCCGUGCACGUCUGGUCGCUGGUGCGCGCCCAAUGCGUCAUUGCCCGCGACGCCCUGCUGCCCCACCUCGAACGUUCUCGCUUGCUGGAGAACAUCAUGGGGGACUUGGUUGUGUACCAGUUCCAGCAGACGGCGAGCCAUGCAUCGCCGCCGCAAAAGCACGCCAUCCGCGACAAGUGCGUCGCCUUUAUGAAGGCCGAGGUGCAGCUCUGCCGACAGCUGGACCAGGUGAUGGAGGGCAUCGACGCGGUUUGUCGCGGCAUUUACACAUUGCUGGCCCGCAUGUAUACCGUCAUGAAGGAGCUCACGCAGCCGAAGGUUCACCGAGGAGGGGAGCACAGACGCUCACGGCAGAGUCGCCAGCAGUUCAGCGUGCGGUUGUUCCGAGUACGCCAGCAGAAACACCAGGACUCAUGCAUGCACGACUCGCACGGCCCCGCUGCUACAUCAGCCGAUGGAACGACGCCGUCGCCGCGCACUCGCGCAGGGUUCAUCCGUUCCCUUUCACGGACGCCGCAACGCGCUGGCGCGGUCUCGGUCGAAGCGGAAGCACCACCAUCCCCGCUUCCUCGCAGCGUUGCGGACACUGUUCCCGACCCUAUCCUCAGCGAUAGCCCCCGAGAGCCGGACUGCAGUUUUCGCGGGCAGGUUGCGGAGCAUGGUGCGAUGACGCGCACGCUUACGGAGUUGAUGCUCUCCAUCCUCCGGUGCUUUAUGCAGGCCCGCAUGUGGGAGUGGUCGCUGAGCAACACCUGCAUUCGGGAGUGUGGCCUCAGUGAGGGAGACCGGCGUACGCUGCUGGCGGCUGAAGAGGAGCUGCAGCUGAUCACGGACGACCUUCUGCACAGCAUGUGGUCGUACUCGCGCAUGACACACAUUCUCGAAGUGGAGCAGGACGCCGCCGGUCCGGCGUCCUCGCUGGAUAUUCUGAUGGACGCUGAGACCCUUGAGCUACUGAACAGUGCGCUGGAGUGCCCCGUGUAUGAUCACAGUGAGGUCUUCGAGUCCCUGAAGGCCCUCUCACACCUGCGCGCGCAGUUUGUGGCCUCUAGCUCCGCUGUCACGAUUGUGGCCCGCAAUCCGGAAACACAGCAGGAGUUGCUGAGCAUGAUGAGCUCCGUCUUGAACACCACCAUGGCGCACCAGACCACAGUGUUGCGCCUCUUAGUUGAGGCAGCCGCCUCCCUGGAUGAGCACUACGCCACCUACCUGCGCACGCGUCAGAUGGACCCCACCGUCGGCGAGCGGCCAUCCCCGAGUGAGGACACGCUACUGGCGGUUGACGUGUUAAAACUGCUGCAGCGCCAGAGCGGCGAGAAGCUGGCCGACUACCUCGCCGUAAUGCCGAAAACAACGGACCACCACGACGACGGCAGCCUAAGAGGUGCUCACGCUCGACAAGGCUUUCCUCGUGCGGGCAUCUUGGCGAUGACACAGGGCAGCUGUCUGCCUGAUGCGUCGAAAGCCUCUGCUGGCGAGGGCGCUGCGCCGCCGCCGCACUGUCCGUUUCUCGCUGACUUUUCGUUGCGUGACACAGCGCUGUUUUCGUGUCAGGUCUUCGGCGAGGCUCUCGUGCGCGCGGCACACGGCGAGCAUCUGCAGGCCGGAUCUGCCCCCGAAGGCCAACACCAAGAGCAGCGGUCUGAAGAGCAGGCGAACGAUGCGGAGGUUGCCGCCUCCGCGGCCGCUGAGGUGCCCUCUCCGCCUCCAGUGGCGCCGGAGCGCUUCACGAUGUCGAUGGAGAGAAUCGUCUCCGGACCAACCGAAGAAACGGCACCAAGGACAUCACGGUCGUCUACUACAUCCUUGCGAACAGUGGACGUUGACACACAGGGCAGCAGAUUCGCGUUAAACACUGAAGCCGCGGCUGCGGCUACCCUCGCGCACGACGAGGAGGACAGCGCUGCACGCGAUGAAGACGCCCCACACCGUGAACCGCUGUUUGCGGCGGACACGGACGCGUCUGUUGUGCUUUUGACGCGAGUCUCACCGUCCGCGGCAGACGUUGACGGCAUUCGGAAAGCGGCAAAGCUCUUUGGGGCUGCCUUUCAGCUGCCAGCAACCACCACAUCAGUGGGACGGCGGCGGCUCGUUUUGCUGCCCUUUUACCGCGGGGAGUGUGUGUACAAGGGGGUGUCGACCCCGUUCUACGUGGAUGGGCAGACGGGCACCGUGCUGAUGGACCCCCGAACUCUUUCCGCAGCAGGAAAGCGCCAGUACGCACUCCAGGUGCUCAGCUCGCCGCUAUUCUUCAUCCUCUUGAACUCAACUUUAAGCGUCUUCCUGCAUCGACGGUACAAACUGGAGAUCAUAUACAAGUGAAUCUCCGCAGCGGAGAGUCGGAAGAUGGCGUGGCGCGGAGGGAGGGAGGGGCAGGAGAGCAGUGGCGCGGGUAUGCCUGUGAUGCAGCUGUUUCCGGCACAGCAGGUGGUGGUAAUCAGCGUUUUGGCGCACUUGCUCUAGCACAGGAAGGUGGUGACGAGGACGUCGGCGUAGCCUCUUAUUUGUACAGAGGUGCCCGUCUGUUGCCUCCGCUCUGUGGUUCUUUCUCUUGUGCACCGCAGCCAGCGUGCUCCCUUCAUGGUGCACAUGAUUGGCGCCAAAAACACGAGCACAGCCGAAGCUGCAUUCAGGAACUCAUAUAUACGUUCAGCUCUCCAACAUGUGCGCGUGCGACUACUCGCAUGCCCCCCUCCUUCCCUCUCUGUAUUUCUCACACACAUUCAGGAUUAAAAGGACACCGACACACACACACACACACACACACACACACACACACACAGUGAGAAAAAGAGAGUACGAGAGCUGCACGUACAAACGGCACGGGCACGAAGGUCAAAAGAAAGGGCGAAUCUUCGUGUGCGUGUGUGCGUAUUGAUGACCGCGACGACGCUCACGGGAUGCAGUUUCGUGCGUUCUCUUUAUAAUCCUUCAGUUAUUGUUGGUGUUGCUUCACACGACGGCAUGAGAUGCCCUCCAUUUGCGAGGGCACGCAGCGUACGCGGCAAACAACAUGCGCAACAAGAAAAAAU